This 77-nucleotide transfer RNA is filed under the name Salmonella enterica subsp. enterica serovar Bareilly. RNAcentral's name for it is "tRNA-Asn". It matches the Rfam family "tRNA". Rfam says of the family: Transfer RNA (tRNA) molecules are approximately 80 nucleotides in length. Their secondary structure includes four short double-helical elements and three loops (D, anti-codon, and T loops). Lineage: Bacteria; Pseudomonadati; Pseudomonadota; Gammaproteobacteria; Enterobacterales; Enterobacteriaceae. The record is from RNAcentral.
GGAUGGGAAGCUUAAGUGGUAUAAGCGGCUGCCUGUUAAGUAGAUGAUAGAGAGUUCGAAUCUCUCCCCGUCCGCCA